ACGGAGGAUGCAAGCGUUAUCCGGAAUGAUUGGGCGUAAAGCGUCCGCAGGUGGCAAUUCAAGUCUGCUGUUAAAGCGCAGGGCUUAACUCUGUAAAGGCAGUGGAAACUGAAUAGCUAGAGUGUGGUAGGGGCAGAGGGAAUUCCCAGUGUAGCGGUGAAAUGCGUAGAGAUUGGGAAGAACAUCGGUGGCGAAGGCGCUCUGCUGGACCAUAACUGACACUCACAGGACGAAAGCUAGGGGAGCGAAUGGGA
RNAcentral lists this ribosomal RNA (254 nucleotides) under uncultured prokaryote. RNAcentral describes it as "partial 16S ribosomal RNA". It matches the Rfam family "Bacterial small subunit ribosomal RNA", at positions 525 to 777 of the family's 1533-position model. The record is from RNAcentral.